UGGAGUGUAGCUCAGUCGGUAGAGCAGGUGACUGUUAAUCACCGGGUCGCAGGUUCGAGUCCUGCCUCUCCAG
This 73-nucleotide transfer RNA is filed under the name Rhizobium phage B1VFA. It matches the Rfam family "tRNA". Rfam says of the family: Transfer RNA (tRNA) molecules are approximately 80 nucleotides in length. Their secondary structure includes four short double-helical elements and three loops (D, anti-codon, and T loops). The record is from Rfam by way of RNAcentral. Lineage: Duplodnaviria; Heunggongvirae; Uroviricota; Caudoviricetes. RNAcentral also lists the same sequence under 1 other name.